Molecule: RNase P RNA, 321 nt
Filed under: Erysipelotrichaceae bacterium
Lineage: Bacteria; Bacillati; Bacillota; Erysipelotrichia; Erysipelotrichales; Erysipelotrichaceae
Description: RNase P RNA component class B
Rfam family: Bacterial RNase P class B
About the family: Ribonuclease P (RNase P) is a ubiquitous endoribonuclease, found in archaea, bacteria and eukarya as well as chloroplasts and mitochondria. Its best characterised activity is the generation of mature 5'-ends of tRNAs by cleaving the 5'-leader elements of precursor-tRNAs.
Source: RNAcentral
CGGUCCGGACAAUCGCUGCGAUAGUAGAGGAAAGUCCAUGCUCGCACGAGCUGUGAUGCUCGUAGUGAUUGCGCUAGCGGAAAAAAUAACGCUAGGUAUGCAGGAGUGCAUAACGGCGGGAAGAAACCUAAGGGCAACUAUGGUCUAUUCCCUGAAAGUGCCACAGUGACGUAGUUUAUUAGAAAUAAUAAAGUGGAACGCGGUAAACCCCACAAGCGAGAAACCCAAAUUUGGUAGGGGAAAUAAGGAAAGAGAAACGAAUCAAUCCUUAUAGGCAUAGCCUAGAUAAAUGAUUGUCAUAACAGAACAUGGCUUACAGGA